CUUUGUCCUGAAAUGAACAUGAUGUCGAUGAAAAAAAACAGCAAUAGAAGAAGACUCGGACAUCCAGUUUCACAUGUGUAACCUUUGCCUUGAACUCAAGCCGGUGGGGGUAUCGUUUGCAAUUUAGGCCCAGUCAGAUCGUUCAAAUGUCACAAGAGCUGAAGAUGGCAGAGGUCAAAGAAUAUCAAGCUGAUUGCAAUAUCAAUCUGCUAUCAAGUUUUACAAUUCUCAGUAGACUGAAAAAAGGGUGUUUUAGUCAAUCACUUGGCUUUAGGGACUGGCCUUGACACAGAGCUAGUAUAUCAUGUGAGUCAUUGCUUUAUUGCAUAUAGAGUAGAUUACUAGAGAGACCGUUCACAACAACCUCACAAGCUAGGAUGCUGGGACCCCAAGUGAGUUAAGUCUCCUUGGAAAGGUCAUCUUGGCACUGAGAAGAAUAAGGAUAUUCAUGGAUAAAAAAGAAAAACAACAUGGAAAGAGAUGAGGAAUCCUAUGAGCCCUCAAACUUUUAAAAGAAACUGUACUAGACAAACUAGUAGCGUAGAAAGCUUCCGUAAAACAUCUCAACGAGCGCACAAUGUCAAUGGACCGGUGACACCACAAUCAUUCUUACUACUUUGUGGACAGUUGAAAAGAUGGCCAUUAGAAAUUGGUUCCUAAGGUAAGAAUAUGAAAAAUCUGAAAAAAAUUCUGGAAGUUGGGAAGUCAUUCUGACAUUAUUUUGAUCCCAUAGUAUUAGUAAUCAUAACAAGAUGGUAU
Molecule: long non-coding RNA, 759 nt
Organism: Anneissia japonica
Lineage: Eukaryota; Metazoa; Echinodermata; Crinoidea; Comatulida; Comatulidae
Exons: 3
Source: RefSeq, a predicted model, not a curated record